Molecule: ribosomal RNA, 2900 nt
Filed under: Klebsiella pneumoniae
Lineage: Bacteria; Pseudomonadati; Pseudomonadota; Gammaproteobacteria; Enterobacterales; Enterobacteriaceae
Description: 23S ribosomal RNA
Rfam family: Bacterial large subunit ribosomal RNA
Source: RNAcentral
UUAAGCGACUAAGCGUACACGGUGGAUGCCCUGGCAGUCAGAGGCGAUGAAGGACGUGCUAAUCUGCGAAAAGCGUCGGUAAGGUGAUAUGAACCGUUAUAACCGGCGAUGUCCGAAUGGGGAAACCCAGUGCAAUUCGUUGCACUAUCGUUAACUGAAUACAUAGGUUAACGAGGCGAACCGGGGGAACUGAAACAUCUAAGUACCCCGAGGAAAAGAAAUCAACCGAGAUUCCCCCAGUAGCGGCGAGCGAACGGGGAGCAGCCCAGAGUCUGAAUCAGCUUGUGUGUUAGUGGAACGGUCUGGAAAGUCCGACGGUACAGGGUGAUAGUCCCGUACACCAAAAUGCACAGGUUGUGAACUCGAAGAGUAGGGCGGGACACGUGGUAUCCUGUCUGAAUAUGGGGGGACCAUCCUCCAAGGCUAAAUACUCCUGACUGACCGAUAGUGAACCAGUACCGUGAGGGAAAGGCGAAAAGAACCCCGGCGAGGGGAGUGAAAAAGAACCUGAAACCGUGUACGUACAAGCAGUGGGAGCACCUUCGGGUGUGACUGCGUACCUUUUGUAUAAUGGGUCAGCGACUUAUAUUCUGUAGCAAGGUUAACCGUAUAGGGGAGCCGCAGGGAAACCGAGUCUUAACUGGGCGUUAAGUUGCAGGGUAUAGACCCGAAACCCGGUGAUCUAGCCAUGGGCAGGUUGAAGGUUGGGUAACACUAACUGGAGGACCGAACCGACUAAUGUUGAAAAAUUAGCGGAUGACUUGUGGCUGGGGGUGAAAGGCCAAUCAAACCGGGAGAUAGCUGGUUCUCCCCGAAAGCUAUUUAGGUAGCGCCUCGUGAAUUCAUCUUCGGGGGUAGAGCACUGUUUCGGCUAGGGGGUCAUCCCGACUUACCAACCCGAUGCAAACUACGAAUACCGAAGAAUGUUAUCACGGGAGACACACGGCGGGUGCUAACGUCCGUCGUGAAGAGGGAAACAACCCAGACCGCCAGCUAAGGUCCCAAAGUCAUGGUUAAGUGGGAAACGAUGUGGGAAGGCACAGACAGCCAGGAUGUUGGCUUAGAAGCAGCCAUCAUUUAAAGAAAGCGUAAUAGCUCACUGGUCGAGUCGGCCUGCGCGGAAGAUGUAACGGGGCUAAACCAUGCACCGAAGCUGCGGCAGCGACACUAUGUGUUGUUGGGUAGGGGAGCGUUCUGUAAGCCUGCGAAGGUGACCUGUGAGGGUUGCUGGAGGUAUCAGAAGUGCGAAUGCUGACAUAAGUAACGAUAAAGCGGGUGAAAAGCCCGCUCGCCGGAAGACCAAGGGUUCCUGUCCAACGUUAAUCGGGGCAGGGUGAGUCGACCCCUAAGGCGAGGCCGAAAGGCGUAGUCGAUGGGAAACAGGUUAAUAUUCCUGUACUUGGUGUUACUGCGAAGGGGGGACGGAGAAGGCUAUGUUAGCCGGGCGACGGUUGUCCCGGUUUAAGCAUGUAGGCUGGUUAUCCAGGCAAAUCCGGAUAAUCAAGGCUGAGGUGUGAUGACGAGGUACUACGGUGCUGAAGUAACAAAUGCCCUGCUUCCAGGAAAAGCCUCUAAGCAUCAGGUAACAUCAAAUCGUACCCCAAACCGACACAGGUGGUCAGGUAGAGAAUACCAAGGCGCUUGAGAGAACUCGGGUGAAGGAACUAGGCAAAAUGGUGCCGUAACUUCGGGAGAAGGCACGCUGGUGUGUAGGUGAAGUCCCUGCGGAUGGAGCUGAGACCAGUCGAAGAUACCAGCUGGCUGCAACUGUUUAUUAAAAACACAGCACUGUGCAAACACGAAAGUGGACGUAUACGGUGUGACGCCUGCCCGGUGCCGGAAGGUUAAUUGAUGGGGUUAUCCGUAAGGAGAAGCUCUUGAUCGAAGCCCCGGUAAACGGCGGCCGUAACUAUAACGGUCCUAAGGUAGCGAAAUUCCUUGUCGGGUAAGUUCCGACCUGCACGAAUGGCGUAAUGAUGGCCAGGCUGUCUCCACCCGAGACUCAGUGAAAUUGAACUCGCUGUGAAGAUGCAGUGUACCCGCGGCAAGACGGAAAGACCCCGUGAACCUUUACUAUAGCUUGACACUGAACAUUGAGCCUUGAUGUGUAGGAUAGGUGGGAGGCUUUGAAGCGUGGACGCCAGUCUGCGUGGAGCCAACCUUGAAAUACCACCCUUUAAUGUUUGAUGUUCUAACGUUGGCCCCUUACCGGGGUUGCGGACAGUGUCUGGUGGGUAGUUUGACUGGGGCGGUCUCCUCCCAAAGCGUAACGGAGGAGCACGAAGGUUAGCUAAUCCUGGUCGGACAUCAGGAGGUUAGUGCAAUGGCAUAAGCUAGCUUGACUGCGAGCGUGACGGCGCGAGCAGGUGCGAAAGCAGGUCAUAGUGAUCCGGUGGUUCUGAAUGGAAGGGCCAUCGCUCAACGGAUAAAAGGUACUCCGGGGAUAACAGGCUGAUACCGCCCAAGAGUUCAUAUCGACGGCGGUGUUUGGCACCUCGAUGUCGGCUCAUCACAUCCUGGGGCUGAAGUAGGUCCCAAGGGUAUGGCUGUUCGCCAUUUAAAGUGGUACGCGAGCUGGGUUUAGAACGUCGUGAGACAGUUCGGUCCCUAUCUGCCGUGGGCGCUGGAGAAUUGAGGGGGGCUGCUCCUAGUACGAGAGGACCGGAGUGGACGCAUCACUGGUGUUCGGGUUGUCAUGCCAAUGGCACUGCCCGGUAGCUAAAUGCGGAAGAGAUAAGUGCUGAAAGCAUCUAAGCACGAAACUUGCCCCGAGAUGAGUUCUCCCUGAGACUAUAAGUCUCCUGAAGGAACGUUAAAGACGAUGACGUUGAUAGGCCGGGUGUGUAAGCGCAGCGAUGCGUUGAGCUAACCGGUACUAAUGAACCGUGAGGCUUAACCUU